This 423-nucleotide ribosomal RNA is filed under the name uncultured bacterium. RNAcentral's name for it is "bacterial SSU rRNA". It matches the Rfam family "Bacterial small subunit ribosomal RNA", at positions 39 to 458 of the family's 1533-position model. The record is from RNAcentral.
GAAUUCGAUUCAGGCCUAACACAUGCAAGUCGAGCGGUAGAGAUUCUUCGGAAUCUUGAGAGCGGCGUACGGGUGCGGAACACGUGUGCAACCUACCUUUAUCUGGGAGAUAGCCUUUCGAAAGGAAGAUUAAUACCCCAUAAUAUAUUGAUUGGCAUCAAUCGAUAUUGAAAACUCCGGUGGAUAGAGAUGGGCACGCGCAAGAUUAGCUAGUUGGUGAGGUAACGGCUCACCAAGGCAAUGAUCUUUAGGGGGCCUGAGAGGGUGAUCCCCCACACUGGUACUGAGACACGGACCAGACUCCUACGGGAGGCAGCAGUGAGGAAUAUUGGACAAUGGGUGCAAGCCUGAUCAAGCCAUCCCGCGCGAAGGACGACUGCCCUAUGGGUUUAAAAGUCUUUGUACAGGGAUAAACCUACCCUC